GGAAGGAAGGGGAAGAGACCAUCAUUUAGAACUUCAUGCAGCUACAUAGAGAAAUAUAGAAAACAAUUAAUCUAAGGAAGUUUUGUUCCUCGCUGUAAUUCUACACUGCUUCUAAGCAGACCAUGAAGGCCACCAAUGGUGUCAUUACACUGUCUGAGGGCAACGAUGUCAUUAGAGACCUGUAAAUGAAGUGGUGUGGGUCAAUAAAAUGAUGUCACCAGCAGCAACAAAAGGCCUUUGAGAAUGAAGAGCUGGGCAUGGAACGCCAACCAAGAUGUGACUUCAGGAAUUUGUGGUAGCUGAAGACUUACACCUUCCCCUCCUUAUUUGAUCCUGGACUGCCACAUGGAAAAGACAUAAUUCCAGCAAGGUGGAAUUACAUACUGGGGACAUAAAACAUCUUGCAGAUGGUGGGAUUUCGAAGCCGAUAUACUAUGUCUUAAAAGGCGUAUUUGUAGAACGCGAAGAGGUUUUUGUCUUGCAUUUUUCCAUCCCUUCAGAUCAUUUACGCGAAUCGACUCCCAAAGUAAACAUUUGAGAAAACCAAGAGACUGAAACUCAUCUAGAAACGGGUUCAGUCAGGGAAAUAUUUAAAACUCAAAGCAAAUAAUAAAGAUCAGCCAGUUCUCCAAA
Molecule: long non-coding RNA, 633 nt
Organism: Ahaetulla prasina
Lineage: Eukaryota; Metazoa; Chordata; Lepidosauria; Squamata; Colubridae
Exons: 3
Source: RefSeq, a predicted model, not a curated record